GGACAGUGACGAUUUGUAUCAAUGGUCUCGUUCGGCAUAAUGGCAUGUUUGCCUUGCUGACCAUCCUGAUAUAUCACCACCCAUAUUCUGAGUCC
Molecule: non-coding RNA, 95 nt
Organism: Jatropha curcas
Lineage: Eukaryota; Viridiplantae; Streptophyta; Magnoliopsida; Malpighiales; Euphorbiaceae
Source: Rfam